ACUCCUACGGGAGGCAGCAGUAGGGAAUUUUCCGCAAUGGACGAAAGUCUGACGGAGCAAUGCCGCGUGAGGUGAUGAAGGUUUUCGAAUCGUAAAGCUCUGUUGUAAGGGAAGAAUACGAGAUAGAAAUGAUCUUGNCUACGGUACCUUACCAGAAAGCCNACGGCUAAUGACGUGCCAGCAGCCGCGGUAAUACGUAGGUGGCAAGCGUUAUCCGGAAUUAUUGGGCGUAAAGCGCAUGUAGGCGGCUUUUUAAGUCUGAUGUGAAAGCCAGUGGCUCAACCACUGAAUUGCAUUGGAUACUGGAAAGCUAGAAUCUUGGAGAGGUAAGUGGAAUUUCAUGUGUAGCGGUGGAAUGCGUAGAUAUAUGAAGGAACACCAAUGGCGAAGGCAGCUUACUGGACAAGUAUUGACGCUGAGAUGCGAAAGUGUGGUAGCAAACAGGAUUAGAUACCCUGGUAGGCUCUG
Molecule: ribosomal RNA, 468 nt
Filed under: uncultured bacterium
Lineage: Bacteria
Description: bacterial SSU rRNA
Rfam family: Bacterial small subunit ribosomal RNA
Source: RNAcentral